This 255-nucleotide ribosomal RNA is filed under the name uncultured bacterium. RNAcentral describes it as "partial 16S ribosomal RNA". It matches the Rfam family "Bacterial small subunit ribosomal RNA", at positions 524 to 776 of the family's 1533-position model. The record is from RNAcentral.
UACGUAGGCAGCGAGCGUUGUUCGGAGUUACUGGGCGUAAAGGGUGUGUAGGCGGUUGUUUUAAGUUUGGUGUGAAAUCUCCCGGCUCAACUGGGAGGGUGUGCCGAAUACUGAAUGACUUGGAGUGCGGGAGAGGAGAGUGGAAUUCCUGGUGUAGCGGUGAAAUGCGUAGAUAUCAGGAGGAACACCGGUGGUGUAGACGGCUCUCUGGACCGUAACUGACGCUGAGACACGAAAGCGUGGGUAGCAAACAGG